Arvicanthis niloticus (Nile rat) is the source of this 186-nucleotide non-coding RNA. The record is from RefSeq and is a predicted model, not a curated record. Lineage: Eukaryota; Metazoa; Chordata; Mammalia; Rodentia; Muridae.
CGAAACACAAUUCCCACACCUUCCUCAAGAGUUGAAGAAGGGUCCCCAAAGUCCUCGAUAAAGGUGGAGCCUAAAAAAGAUCAGCACGCAACACAUGUCUUGAGACAGAGCCAUCACAGGAAUAUUGCUGCUCCCCUGCAUGCUGAUGAACAUCAACUCAGAGCUUGUACUUCCAGGGACAAUCUA